This 73-nucleotide transfer RNA is filed under the name Halalkalibacter oceani. RNAcentral's name for it is "tRNA-Ala". It matches the Rfam family "tRNA". From Rfam's summary of the family: Transfer RNA (tRNA) molecules are approximately 80 nucleotides in length. Their secondary structure includes four short double-helical elements and three loops (D, anti-codon, and T loops). The record is from RNAcentral. Lineage: Bacteria; Bacillati; Bacillota; Bacilli; Caryophanales; Bacillaceae.
GGGGCCAUAGCUCAGCUGGGAGAGCGCUACGCUGGCAGCAUAGAGGUCAGGGGUUCGAGCCCCCUUGGCUCCA